CCUACGGGAGUCAGCAGUGGGGAAUAUUGCGCAAUGGGCGAAAGCCUGACGCAGCGACGCCGCGUGAGGGAUGAAGGUCCUCGGAUCGUUAACCUCCGUCAGCAGGGAAGAACGGUCACUGUGCUAAUCAGCAGUGAAUUGACGGUACCUGCAAAGGAAGGACCGGCUAACUCCGUGCCCGCAGCCGGGGUAAUACGGAGGGUGCGAGCGUUAAUCGGAAUUAUUGGGCGUAAAGCGCUCGUAGGCGGUAUGUCAAGUAAAGGGGGAAAUCCCCGCGCUCAACGUGGGAACUGCCUUUGAAACUGGCAAACUGGAGUGUGUGAGAGGAAAGUGGAAUUCCAGGUGUAGGAGUGAAAUCCGUAGAUAUCUGGAGGAACAUCAGUGGCGAAGGCGACUAUCUGGCACACAACUGACGCUGAGGAGCGAAAGCGUGGGUAGCGAACAGGAUUAGAUACCCGGGUAGUC
RNAcentral lists this ribosomal RNA (465 nucleotides) under uncultured bacterium. RNAcentral describes it as "partial 16S ribosomal RNA". It matches the Rfam family "Bacterial small subunit ribosomal RNA", at positions 338 to 795 of the family's 1533-position model. The record is from RNAcentral.